AAUAAUGAUGGUAGCGACAGGUGUUGCAUGGCCGUCGUCAGCUCGUGCCGUAGGUGUCCCUUCAGUGGGUAACGAGCGCAACCCUUGCCGCAAGUUGAAUAUUCUUGUGGGACUCCCUAAAUUUAUUUUAGGGGGAAGUGAGGACGACGUCAGGUCAGCAUGGCCCUUAUAGCUAGGGCAACACACAUACUACAAUGGAGCCGACAGAGGGUUGCCAAGGAGCAAUCCGGAGCUAAUCCCAUCAAACGGCUUCUCAGUGGGGAUUGGGGGCUGCAACUCGCCCCCAUGAACGUGGAAUUGGUAGUAAUCGCGAAUCAGCAUGUCGCGGUGAAUACGUUCUCGGGUCUU
This 348-nucleotide ribosomal RNA is filed under the name uncultured Microgenomates group bacterium. Its description in RNAcentral is "bacterial SSU rRNA". It matches the Rfam family "Bacterial small subunit ribosomal RNA", at positions 1018 to 1382 of the family's 1533-position model. The record is from RNAcentral.